Molecule: long non-coding RNA, 277 nt
Organism: Peromyscus eremicus (cactus mouse)
Lineage: Eukaryota; Metazoa; Chordata; Mammalia; Rodentia; Cricetidae
Exons: 2
Source: RefSeq, a predicted model, not a curated record
UUCAAUUUCUUGUCUCUCUUUCUCUUUUAUGUCUGUAUAAAACCCGAUUGACCAGUUAGGUAUCUGCAACAGUGAAGAAGCAGAUGGCCGAUAGUGUGGGUGACGAUGGGUGACUAUCAACAUGCUUUAAUCCAGUGAUUCUGUGCAGCAAUUUUGGAGAAAUGGCCAGAAACUUGAUGACAUUCCUCCUCCCAACAGAUAGAGUCUGGAUAUGUGUUCACUUGUGAACUCAGAAAGCCUUAUGACCGUUUUGACCAAUAAACUAUAAUGGAAUGAA